Non-coding RNA from Acanthosepion pharaonis, 97 nucleotides. Lineage: Eukaryota; Metazoa; Mollusca; Cephalopoda; Sepiida; Sepiidae. The record is from the annotation of a GenBank genome assembly.
UAUAUCACCAGUUCUCGUACGAUCACCAGAGUUAAGCAACGGCGAGCCUGGUCAGUACCUAAAUAGGUGAUAACUUGGGAGUACCAGGUGUUGUAAG